GUUAGCGCAGUUGGGUCUGGCUGGCUUCAGGAGCUGCUCGCUGCCGUGGCACAGGAAAAAUGGCAGGCACCAUGGCAGCGAGCAGCUCCUGAAGCCAGCCAGACCCAACUGCGCUAAC
This is a non-coding RNA of Podarcis lilfordi (Lilford's wall lizard), 118 nucleotides long. Lineage: Eukaryota; Metazoa; Chordata; Lepidosauria; Squamata; Lacertidae. The record is from the annotation of a GenBank genome assembly.